Long non-coding RNA from Carassius auratus (goldfish), 905 nucleotides. RefSeq lists it as uncharacterized. The transcript has 3 exons. The record is from RefSeq and is a predicted model, not a curated record. NCBI's taxonomy places the organism in Eukaryota, Metazoa, Chordata, Actinopteri, Cypriniformes, Cyprinidae.
GUACACUUUACAGAUGGAGCUGGGUAAACGAUCCAAUAAAAAUCAUCAGUGAAAAUGCCACAUGUGAUUUUGAGCAUGAGAUGGAUGAUGGGGAGAGAGUGUGUGUGUCUCAGCCGUCCUCUGGCAGUAAUCACUGUUGUCGAGGCACUAAUUGGUCUUGUCUGUUUGUGAGGCCACACACUGUGACGUGGGGCUUCUGGCAGAUGGAUUGUGGACACUGGCCUCUAUCGAGCCAUGAUCAACAUUAAAUGGCUCACCAGAAUGCACAAGAUGACAGAUCAAGACUUUGCCUUUAUUGACUGUAACUGACAUCUUAAUCCGACUGCCAGCGUCUUUCCUUCCUCCAUUGUUGGUGCUCUCAUCUGUGGUGUUUCCACACGGUUGCGUGGCGGUGCGCUGGGAUUUCACAGUGUUCUGACUCAAGCUGACACCGUGACAGGCGAGCAGAAAAAGGUCAAGGGAGCCCUUUGAGAGUGAGCAAAUCAGCUACCUUUCAAUCAUCGAUCACAGAAACACCUCCUUCCUGUCGUCUAAAUCAAUCUACAGCAAUGGACUUCCAAGGUUCCAACGUUUUCAAAGGAAAUGGUGUUGGUUCCUCGGCAGUGGCCUCAAAACUGGAUUCACGCCUUCAGAAGACAGCCAUAAUUAAAAUGGCGUAAUUACCAUUGUCUGAAGUCUCAGCAUUAUCUUCUUUCUGUCUCAACAAUCAGACCGUAUGAUCCAGACCAAGACCUGUUGUAAGCCCACAAGGGUCAUGACAGAAAUUCUUCUGCUUUGUUUUAAAAAAUAAAGGCAUUAUAGAUUCAGUUCAUCAUCAUCAUCAUUAUCAUCUUCACAGUCCUAAUUGUUUUGCCUGCCAGCUGUCGGGUGGUGGGAUAAUUGAGUAAUCUGACAUUUUUGCAACA